CCUACGGGGUGCAGCAGUGAGGAAUAUUGGUCAAUGGACGGAAGUCUGAACCAGCCAUGCCGCGUGCAGGAAGACGGCUCUAUGAGUUGUAAACUGCUUUUGUACAAGGGUAAACCUGAAUACGUGUAUUCAGCUGAAAGUACUGUACGAAUAAGGAUCGGCUAACUCCGUUCCAGCAGCCGCGGUAAUACGGAGGAUACAAGCGUUAUCCUGAUUUAUUGGGUUUAAAGGGUGCGUAGGCGGAUUGAUAAGUUAGAGGUGAAAUGUCCGAGCUUAACUCGGGAACUGCCUCUAAUACUGUUGUUCUAGAGAGUAGAUGCGGUAGGCGGAAUGUAUGGUGUAGCGGUGAAAUGCUUAGAGAUCAUACAGAACACCGAUUGCGAAGGCAGCUUACCAAUCUAUAUCUGACGUUGAGGCACGAAAGCGUGGGGAGCAAACAGGAUUAGAUACCCUUGUAGUC
This 460-nucleotide ribosomal RNA is filed under the name uncultured bacterium. RNAcentral's name for it is "partial 16S ribosomal RNA". It matches the Rfam family "Bacterial small subunit ribosomal RNA", at positions 338 to 795 of the family's 1533-position model. The record is from RNAcentral.